RNAcentral lists this ribosomal RNA (433 nucleotides) under uncultured organism. RNAcentral's name for it is "bacterial SSU rRNA". It matches the Rfam family "Bacterial small subunit ribosomal RNA", at positions 29 to 507 of the family's 1533-position model. The record is from RNAcentral.
AGCGAACGCUGGCGGCAGGCCUAACACAUGCAAGUCGAACGGAUCCUUCGGGAUUAGUGGCGGACGGGUGAGUAACACGUGGGAACGUGCCCUUUGGUUCGGAACAACUCAGGGAAACUUGAGCUAAUACCGGAUGUGCCCUUCGGGGGAAAGAUUUAUCGCCAUUGGAGCGGCCCGCGUCUGAUUAGCUAGUUGGUGGGGUAAAGGCCCACCAAGGCGACGAUCAGUAGCUGGUCUGAGAGGAUGAUCAGCCACAUUGGGACUGAGACACGGCCCAAACUCCUACGGGAGGCAGCAGUGGGGAAUCUUGCGCAAUGGGCGAAAGCCUGACGCAGCCAUGCCGCGUGAAUGAUGAAGGUCUUAGGAUUGUAAAAUUCUUUCACCGGGGACGAUAAUGACGGUACCCGGAGAAGAAGCCCCGGCUAACUUCGUG